CUCAAGUGUCAAAUGAGAAUGUUUGGGAAAAUGAAGUGACACGAUCAUUGUGAAGAUCGUAAAGGUCCUUUAAAGGUCAUCUGGAUGGCUCUUCAGGAUCUGGGGACCAGUGACUUCAGAGAAUUUUUAAAAGUACGUGGAUUGUGAGAGCACGGUUGCAUACCUGUUCAUGCAGAGGACAACUGGAAAAAUCUGGAGCAGUGAAAACACAUGGACAUCUGUGAAUGUAAAAUCCAAAGUCACUCUUACCCAACAUCUAUAAUGCAGUAUAUG
Long non-coding RNA from Eptesicus fuscus (big brown bat), 273 nucleotides. RefSeq lists it as uncharacterized. NCBI's taxonomy places the organism in Eukaryota, Metazoa, Chordata, Mammalia, Chiroptera, Vespertilionidae. The transcript is spliced from 3 exons. The record is from RefSeq and is a predicted model, not a curated record.